Oreochromis aureus is the source of this 709-nucleotide long non-coding RNA. RefSeq lists it as uncharacterized. NCBI's taxonomy places the organism in Eukaryota, Metazoa, Chordata, Actinopteri, Cichliformes, Cichlidae. The transcript has 3 exons. The record is from RefSeq and is a predicted model, not a curated record.
GGAGGCUGAAGCUCGCUGAUGGAGUCAGAGAGAUGGAGGGAGACACUGGGGGGAGAGAGCAAAAGGAUGGAGGGAGAGAAAAAAGAGGGAGGAUACAACGUGCCAGUGGCAGAAAAGUGAAAUAUUCUGUCAGAUGUCUACAUUCAUGGUUCCCCCGGAGAAGAAAGAGCGUCUUUGGGUAGAGGAUUUUCAGUGACCACAGGAAACCCUACAAAUGGCUCAGAGGAUGUUCUCUCACCUUUACACACCAUCAUCUCUGUUCUACAUUUAGUCUCCUCCUUAUGUGCCCUUCAAAUGUGUUAGGAAGGUGGCCUAAAUAUCGCUCCCUCUGCUCCAAAGUCACUCCGUGUCAGCGACAUAUCCCAUAUGCCACGGUGACUCGACAGGCUGAGACAUUCACGCGCUUGUAUAUUGUGGAUUCAAGUCAGUCUGCUCAUCUGUACCACAUUUCUGCUGGAUAACGUAAUCACACAUUUCUUUAUGAUGCCCUCAUCCAUUUUGAAGAAUCAAAUAGUCAAACAGCUCUUGGAAUACCGUGCUGUUUCCAUCCAACUUUCAUGCAUGUUUACAUUAAGAAGCAAACCACACUCUGGUUAGCGUUUGCUGUCCUUGAAUUGUUGCCUGUCCUGUAGAAACAUAAAUAGUGAAUGAAAGUUGAUCUCAGUAACAAGGACCCCCUGGCCACAAAUUUUAAAUUGCAUCUAUAUAU